GAUGAACGCUGGCGGCGUGCCUAAUACAUGCAAGUCGAGCGAACAGAUAAGGAGCUUGCACCUUUGACGUUAGCGGCGGACGGGUGAGUAACACGUGGGUAACCUACCUAUAGGACUGGAAUAACUCCGGGAAACCGGGGCUAAUGCCGGAUAACAUUUAGAACCGCAUGGUUCUAAAGUGAAAGAUGGUUUUGCUGUCACUUAUAGAUGGACCCGCGCCGUAUUAGCUAGUUGGUAAGGUAACGGCUUACCAAGGCAACGAUACGUAGCCGACCUGAGAGGGUGAUCGGCCACACUGGAACUGAGACACGGUCCAGACUCCUACGGGAGGCAGCAGUAGGGAAUCUUCCGCAAUGGGCGAAAGCCUGACGGAGCAACGCCGCGUGAGUGAUGAAGGUCUUCGGAUCGUAAAACUCUGUUAUUAGGGAAGAACAAAUGUGUAAGUAACUGUGCACGUCUUGACGGUACCUAAUCAGAAAGCCACGGCUAACUACGUG
This 497-nucleotide ribosomal RNA is filed under the name uncultured bacterium. Its description in RNAcentral is "partial 16S ribosomal RNA". It matches the Rfam family "Bacterial small subunit ribosomal RNA", at positions 28 to 507 of the family's 1533-position model. The record is from RNAcentral.